UACGAAGGUCCCGAGCGUUGUUCGGAAUCACUGGGCGUAAAGGGAGCGUAGGCGGCGCGGUAAGUCAGAUGUGAAAUCCCGGGGCUCAACCCCGGAACUGCAUCCGAUACUGCCGUGCUAGAGGAUUGGAGAGGUAGCUGGAAUUCUUGGUGUAGCAGUGAAAUGCGUGGAUAUCAAGAGGAACACUCGUGGCGAAGGCGGUGCUCUGGGCCGGAACUGACGCUGAGGAGCGAAAGCGUGGGGAGCAAACAGG
This 253-nucleotide ribosomal RNA is filed under the name uncultured bacterium. RNAcentral describes it as "partial 16S ribosomal RNA". It matches the Rfam family "Bacterial small subunit ribosomal RNA", at positions 524 to 776 of the family's 1533-position model. The record is from RNAcentral.